UGAGGAAUAUUGGUCAAUGGGCGGGAGCCUGAACCAGCCAAGCCGCGUGAGGGAAGAAGGCCCUAUGGGUCGUAAACCUCUUUUGUCAGGGAACAAAAGCGAGUAUGUAUACUGGUCUGAGUGUACCUGAAGAAAAAGCAUCGGCUAACUCCGUGCCAGCAGCCGCGGUAAUACGGAGGAUGCGAGCGUUAUCCGGAUUUAUUGGGUUUAAAGGGUGCGUAGGCGGCGGUGCAAGUCAGCGGUAAAAUGCCCGGGGCUCAACCCCGGCGAGCCGUUGAAACUGCAGUGCUAGAGAAGGCGAGAGGUACGCGGAAUGCGCAGUGUAGCGGUGAAAUGCUUAGAUAUUGCGCAGAACUCCGAUUGCGAAGGCAGCGUACUGGCGCCUGACUGACGCUGAGGCACGAAAGCGUGGGGAUCGAACAGGAUUAGAUACCC
RNAcentral lists this ribosomal RNA (435 nucleotides) under uncultured bacterium. RNAcentral's name for it is "bacterial SSU rRNA". It matches the Rfam family "Bacterial small subunit ribosomal RNA", at positions 355 to 787 of the family's 1533-position model. The record is from RNAcentral.